Molecule: ribosomal RNA, 403 nt
Filed under: uncultured bacterium
Lineage: Bacteria
Description: partial 16S ribosomal RNA
Rfam family: Bacterial small subunit ribosomal RNA
Source: RNAcentral
AUUGAACGCUGGCGGCAGGCCUAACACAUGCAAGUCGAACGAUCGGCGGACGGGUGAGAAAUGUAUGGGGACUCCCCGAUAUAGGGGGAUAACUACAGGAAAAAGUAGCUAAUACCGCAUACUAUCGGAUAACCCAUAUGGGAUUAGCUAGUAAGUGAGGUAAGGGCGCACCUAGGCGCCGAUCCCUAGCUGGUCUGAGAGGAUGAUCAGCCACACUGGGACUGAGACACGGCCCAGACUCCUACGGAGGCAGCAGUGGGGAAUAUUGCACAAUGGGCGCAAGCCUGAUGCAGCCAUGCCGCGUGUAUGAAGAAGGCCCUAGGGUUGUAAAGUACUUUCAGUUGGGAGGCGUUACCGACAGAAGAAGCACCGGCUAACUCCGUGCCAGCAGCCGCGGUAAUAC